UGAGGAAUAUUGCGCAAUGGAGGAAACUCUGACGCAGCGACGCCGCGUGAAGGAUGAAGGCCCUCUGGGUUGUAAACUUCUGUAGAGAGGGAAGAAUUUUUCGCUUCGCGAAAUUGACGGUACCUCUAAAGUAAGGGUCGGCUAACUACGUGCCAGCAGCCGCGGUAAUACGUAGGACCCAAGCGUUGUCCGGAUUUACUGGGUGUAAAGGGAGCGCAGGCGGAUUUUCAAGUCGAUGGUGAAAUCUUGCGGCUCAACCGCAAAACAGCCGUCGAUACUGUUAAUCUUGAGUGUGGAAGAGAGUGGCGGAAUUCAUGGUGUAGCAGUGAAAUGCGUAGAUAUCAUGAAGAACACCGGUUGCGAAGGCGGCCACUUAGUCCAUUACUGACGCUCAUGCUCGAAAGCGUGGGGAUCAAACAGG
RNAcentral lists this ribosomal RNA (421 nucleotides) under uncultured Chlorobiota bacterium. RNAcentral's name for it is "bacterial SSU rRNA". It matches the Rfam family "Bacterial small subunit ribosomal RNA", at positions 355 to 776 of the family's 1533-position model. Lineage: Bacteria; Pseudomonadati; Chlorobiota. The record is from RNAcentral.